AUACGUGAGGGGCAAACGUUGUUCGGUGUCACUGGGCUUAAAGAGCGCGUAGGUGGUUAUGCAAGUAAGGUGUGAAAGCCCUCGGCUCACCCGAGGAACUGCGCUUUAUACUGCAUGACUUGAGGAUCAGAGAGGUAGGAGGAACUCCAGGUGUAGCGGUGAAAUGCGCAGAUAUCUGGAGGAAGGCCGGCGGCGAAGGCGUCCUACUGGCUGAUUUCUGACACUGAGGCGCGAAAGCGUGGGUAGCGAACAGGAUUAGAAACCCCUGUAGUCC
RNAcentral lists this ribosomal RNA (274 nucleotides) under uncultured bacterium. RNAcentral's name for it is "partial 16S ribosomal RNA". It matches the Rfam family "Bacterial small subunit ribosomal RNA", at positions 523 to 796 of the family's 1533-position model. The record is from RNAcentral.